This is a long non-coding RNA of Eriocheir sinensis (Chinese mitten crab), 4912 nucleotides long. RefSeq lists it as uncharacterized. The record is from RefSeq and is a predicted model, not a curated record. Lineage: Eukaryota; Metazoa; Arthropoda; Malacostraca; Decapoda; Varunidae. The transcript has 6 exons.
UCCUCCUCCUCCUCCUCCUCCUCCUCCUCCUCCUCCUCCUCCUCUCUCUUGCUGUUUAUCUGACUGACUGGUUCUGUGUGUGUGUGUGUGUGUGUGUGUGUGUGGUGCUGCCUAUAAUACCGGUAGGUUGUCUUGGGGAGCCUCUUCGACGGCCCAGCUCUGUAGUGGCGCGGGCGAAUUUUUUUUAUAGUGGCUGCCGUGUUGUAUGACUUGCCUGGCCCAUGCUACCCCCCGGCUCUUCUCUUGACCGAAGGCGCUGAAGUUAGGGUUGAUUGAAGAUGUGGGCAGCAUGUGGGUAACCCUCAGACACUCCGCGAUGGUUGAAAACUCAGUGUGCUUCGGUGGAACUUAAACCUCGGUCUGUGUGUGGUUUUGAAUGCUGUCUCUUACCUUAACCCGUCUCGAUAUUAAUAAAACGCUAAAAGAGAGAAAGAAACCAGAAGGAAGGAUAACAAAGAGCAAAGUCAACAGAAAACACAAACAGUAACAACAACAACAGCGUGAGAUCAAGAAAAACGUAACACGCAGAGCCAAAACGAAGAACAGGUCUCACUACUUCGGCUUCCGGGCAACCGAGCGGCGUCUCCCAUAACGUCUGCUUUGUUACUAUGGCAGGGCGGAGCGGCAGACGGGUGGGUGGGCAGGUGGGCGAGCACGUGACUGAUAGCUUAAGGGUCUCCUAUUCUUUGUUAGGUCUGUAGCGUUUGACUGAUAGCUUAAGGGUCUCCUAUUCUUUGUUAGGUCUGUAGCACGUGACUGAUAGCUUAAGGAUCUCCUAUUCUUUGUUAGUUUUGUAGCAUUUGACUGAUAGCUUAAGGGUCUCCUCCUGUCUGUUAGUUCUGUUAGUGUAUUAGUUUGUUAGCUCUUGCCUUUUAGUGUUAGUUAAUGUUGGAUCAUGUUAGUGGCACAAAAAUUCGAUGUUGCUUUGCUUGCUUCGUGUAUAUUUGUCUUGUUUGUUUCGCGGUGUGUGUCUCUGUGAGCCCUCCCUUACCUCCUCCUUCUGUUAUUACUAUUCCUCCUCUUCCUCUUCCUCCUGCUCCUCUUCCUCCUCAUCAUCAGUUUUUGUCAUCAUCAUCGUGUUGGUCAAAAAUACUGGUCCUGAGGCAUCUGCGAGGUGGCGGCAGCGAAGCAGACCAUUAGAGAAAAUGAGUUGCCCGUACACAGUCUUGUCCCGAAGCCGCUGGUAUAGAAAAAACAAGUAUUCUUUUUUUCAUUCUUAAGAAGUUGCGUCGUUUCUCCGUCUUACAAGCGUUGCGUAAUAAUGUCACAAGGGUACAGCAAAGGCAGAGAUGAGAAUAUACCCUUAGAUACAUACCCUUUGAGCCUGUGGUGGGAUAGACCAUUAGCCCUUCCCCAGGUACCCCCGAAACAAGGAUGAACAGCUGGGUCGGCCACAUGUUGACUGCCUAUACCGGGACUCGAACCUGGGCCAGCAGAUUUGUAGUCAGGGAGGCAAAUCACAGCACCACUACGAGAAAAUAUGUCGUAGUUUGUUUCUUCUUUUUUUUUUCUUUAGUUGAUUAGUUUGUUCGUUCUUACCCAUAGAAGUCUUGCCUCACCUCCACCACAACCACCACCACUGCUACCUCCACUACCACCACCACCAUCACUACAUCCACCAUCCCCUCCACCUCUCAUAUCUUCGGUCACGUCCACCUGCACUGCUAUUACCCAACUCCUCCUCCUCGUCUUCCUCCACCGCCAUCUCUUCUACAUUCACACAAAAAACGUCUUCCUUUACCCCGGGGCGCCACUGGGUUAGUUUCAUCACAGGGUUGCUCACCGCCUUCCCCUACGUCUAAGAAAUGGAUAGGAAUGUGUGUUUUUAUAUACCGCCCCUAUUCUCAAACAUUUCGGGGGAUACACACCCACAUUUGGUAAGGCAUUGAUGGAGGUUGUGUUGGUAUUUCCAUGGGUAGUUUUAUGAGCCUAGUGAUAGUUUGGCAAUACUUCUUAACCUUGCAAUCACCUAUAUCAUCUUGAGACUUGUUCCUCUGAUUCUAAGGCUCUUAUUCUCAAACAUUUCGGAGCAGACAUACCCACAUUUGGUAAGGCAUUGAUGGAGGCUGUGUUGGUAUUUCCAUGGGUAGUUUUAUGAGCCUAGUGAUAGUUUGGCAAUACUUCUUCACCUUACAAUCAUCUAUAUCAUCUUGAGACUUGUGUUCCUAUGAUUCUGAGGCUCCUAUUCUCAAACAUUUGGUAAGGUAUUGAUAGAGGUUGUGUUGGUAUUUCCAGGGGUAGUUUUAUGAGCCUUGUGAAAGUAAUGGUUUGACAAGGUUUCUGCACCAUGAAUGUGGAAAUAGGGCUUUGGUAUGGGUUGUGUUGGUAUUUCCAUUGGUAAUUUGAUGAGCCUAGUGAUAGCGGGAAUAGAGAAUGCGAUAAUAAGGCUUUGUUAGCGGUUGUGUUAAUAUUUCCAUGGGUAGUUUUAUGAGUCUAGUGAGAGUUUGACAAGGCUUCCGGACCGUGAACGUGAAAAAAAGCACUCACGAGAACCCGACUCCUUUUUGUUUUUGGAAGAGAGAGAGAGAGAGAGAGAGAGAGAGAGAGAGAGAGAGAGAGAGAGAGAGAGAGAGAGAGGGGGGGUAAGGAAGUAGGAGAACAUAGAUGAAGAGGAAGAGGAAAGGGAGGAAGAAAAAAAGGAAGGUUGAAGGAAUGGAGUGUAUUGAAGAGAGAGAGAGAGAGAGAGAGAGAGAGAGAGAGAGAGAGAGAGAGAGAGAGAGAGAGAGAAAAGAGACCCACGGUGGUAGAAACAGCUGAUGGGAUAGACCUAAGGAAUGCAAUGGGUUGUGUGAACGACUCAAACGGGUUCUGUUCCUGUCGUUUUUAAAGUUUACCGUUUGGUUGUCUAGGGGGACUUUGGUUGCCGGUUCAUUUCCUUAGGCCUCUUUUUUUAUUUAUUUUAUUCAUUUCUUUUACUUAUUUAUUUAUUUAUGUAUUUAUUUAUUUAUUUUUGGUGUAUGGACAAGUGGUGUUGAUCUUGUGGUGGUUAAUGUGGUUUAUCGUUCACUGACGUCGCUGGUAUUCAUAGUUCAUAGUUCACUCGCUUGUCUGUCUGUCUCGUUCGGUUGUUUUGCUAUUCCUUGGUCAUGAUUCUCUCUCUGCUCCACUUGUUUCAAAGGCGAAGUAUUGUCAGUUCGUCUUCGAGUCGCUUGGAUUGCUACCUCGUGUCGCAUUGAAAUUUCUAGCAUUGGCAGAGGUGUGAUGGAUUGGUACUUCAUGUUGCAUUGAAAUUUCUAGCAUUGGCAGAGGUGUGAUGGAUUGUUACGUUAUGUCGCAUUGAAAUUUCUAGCAUUGGCAGAGGUGUGAUGGAUUGGUACUUCAUGUUGCAUUGAAAUUUCUAGCAUUGGCAGAGGUGUGAUGGAUUGUUACGUUAUGUCGCAUUGAAAUUUCUAGCAUUGGCAGAGGUGUGAUGGAUUGGUACGUUAUGUCGCAUUGAAAUUUCUAGCAUUGGCAGAGGUGUGAUGGAUUGUUACGUUAUGUCGCAUUGAAAUUUCUAGCAUUGGCAGAGGUGUGAUGGAUUGUUACGUUAUGUCGCAUUGAAAUUUCUAGUAUUGGCAGAGGUGUGAUGGAUUGGUACUUCAUGUCGCAUUGAAAUCUCUAGUAUUGGCAGAGGUGUGAUGGAUUGGUACUUCAUGUUGCAUUGAAAUUUCUAGCAUUGGCAGAGGUGUGAUGGAUUGGUACUUCAUGUCGCAUUGAAAUUUCUAGCAUUGGCAAAGGUGUGAUGGAUUGGUACUUCAUGUUGCAUUGAAAUUUCUAGCAUUGGCAAAGGCGUGAUGGAUUGGUACUUCAUGUUGCAUUGAAAUUUCCAACAUUUUCAGUGACUUAAUUUAGGACCGUGUUCACAUAAGUCUUUGAGCUUGCCUUUCCUCCUCUUUACUUUCUUUUUCUCCCUCUUUUACCUCUUCUUUACCCUUUCUUUUUCUUCCUUUAUAUUUUCUUUAUCGGUAGUUUUUAGUUCGUCUUCACAUCAUUACUUGUCAUCAUCUGUAAUCUAAGACCACAGAUACAUAUAUACGUUUUAAACCUUCCCUUCCUCACUCAGUAGUUCAGGAGGGAUGUUUGGCCUCAGUAACAUCAUUGCCUUGACGUCGCAUGCUUCUCUCAUCAGGGUCAGGCGUGCCAGUGCUCCGAGAUACUGUUUUCAUCCCUUUUUACUAUUCUCGAAUCACGUUAAACUAUUGGGUGACGUCAGUGGGCCUACUUCACAUGCUUUAGAGUCCGAGGUCAGGCGUACGUGUCCUGGAGGCCUUGUUUUUACAUUUGUGGCUAUAUUAUUAUUAUUAUUAUUACUUUUCAUUUACAACAAAGGAGACAGCUCAAGGGCACAAAAAAAGGAAACAAUAAUAAUAAAAAUCCCGCUACUCGCAAUCCCGCAAAACCCGCUACUCAUUAGUCAUGUUUUUUCUGCUUCAUUUGUUUCAUAGGCCAAAUAUCAUCUAUUCGUUUUCAUUCGAGUCGCUUGGAUCAGUACUUGAAGCUGCAUUGAAAUUCCCGUGCUAGAAUUAGAUUAGUAUUUAAAGUUGCAUUGAAAUCUCCUUGCUAAAACUGUACUUACCUUCAAUGUGGAGGUGGAAGAGUAAUGCUAGAGGGAAUGUAGCGGAGCGUGGGAGCGUGAUGGCUAAGACUCUAAUGGUGCGUGUUAAUCCUCAAGAAUCUAAUGGGAGGUGGAAGUGCAGUGCUUAAGAAUCUAAUGUGAAGCUUAUGGAAUCCCUUGGACAUCGGGCGACGCACUCAAAGCUCAAUCCAUGGCUGUCUUGAGGGUUGAGUAAGGAGGGGGGGGGGGUAGGUUAAGAGGUAGUGGUUAGAAUCAAAGAGUUGUCAUAAGGGAUCAAGGGAAAUAAGUGAAGAGUUUAUGAGUGGGAUCGAAGGGGGUAUUGUCUUGGGUGUGAAGAUGGGAUGCGUGGAAUCGAAG